This is a long non-coding RNA of Macaca mulatta (Rhesus monkey), 532 nucleotides long. RefSeq lists it as uncharacterized. The record is from RefSeq and is a predicted model, not a curated record. NCBI's taxonomy places the organism in Eukaryota, Metazoa, Chordata, Mammalia, Primates, Cercopithecidae.
UGGCUACAGCGUUGCGGUCCGGACAGAGCAAAAAAAACAAGGCAUCAGUAUUGUUGAGUAUUAGCUUGUACCUGGUUCGGAGGCUAAGUUUGCGGGAGAAAGCAGGGGUGAGCCACGGUGGCUGCCUGGCUGUGCACCGGGGCCGGAGGUUGGACCAAGACAAAGACAGGAGCUGUCCGCGGUGCUGAAUCGGCGGCGCCGCCGCCGGGGCAAGAGGGCUUCUGUAACCAGCCCUCUGCUCAUUCGCUCCCCAUCCUUCUAACUCCCCUUCGCUCUGUGACUCUUGCCUUCCCCUGAAUUUAUUUCCCUUUUGGGGGGCUCACCUUAGGAUCUGCGCCCUGUACACAGGUGUAUAUACAUAUAUCAAAGAACAAAACGAUUGAUUGAAAACGGUGUCUUCUCCUUUCUUCCCAAAUAAAUGAUGCUAGAAAGGUUUAUUUUAACUGUACUCUAAAAUGGAGAGAAACGGACAUUUCCACUCCUAAAUAAAUGAAAAUUCGUGUUAAAAACAAUGCAACUAACCUAUAACAAA